UACUCCCCUGCUUUUCUCUGGU
Molecule: non-coding RNA, 22 nt
Filed under: Arabidopsis thaliana (thale cress)
Lineage: Eukaryota; Viridiplantae; Streptophyta; Magnoliopsida; Brassicales; Brassicaceae
Source: RNAcentral